UCCGUAGGUGGAUAAUUAAGUCAGAGGUGAAAUCCUGCAGCUCAACUGUAGAAUUGCCUUUGAUACUGGUUAUCUUGAGUCAUUAUGAAGUGGUUAGAAUGUGUAGUGUAGCGGUGAAAUGCAUAGAUAUUACACAGAAUACCGAUUGCGAAGGCAGAUCACUAAUAAUGUACUGACACUGAGGGACGAAAGCGUGGGGGGCGAACAGGAUUAGAUACCCUGGUAGUCC
RNAcentral lists this ribosomal RNA (229 nucleotides) under uncultured bacterium. RNAcentral's name for it is "partial 16S ribosomal RNA". It matches the Rfam family "Bacterial small subunit ribosomal RNA", at positions 568 to 796 of the family's 1533-position model. The record is from RNAcentral.